CUGCCGCCGCCCAAAAUGACCUCGCCUCCGCGUAAAGGAGAAGCGAGCCCCCUUCCGCGUCGACCAGCCUCCUCCUUCGGCACUCUUGAACCGCUCUCUCCUCUACCCCUUCCCGCCGCUCGACACCCUGCUGAGCCGCGACCACCUGCGGAAGCUGGUGCGGCAGCGGUGGAUGUUCCGUUACGUACCGUUCUUGUUGGUUCCACGAGGUAGACUCUUUGUUCUCAGUCUUCUACAUCGACGACGACGGCGCAUGCGACGGCGACGACAACGUCUUCUUGGACAGAGAUGACUUCACCGUCUACUCGUUUGUCUCUUUUUACUGUCGACGUGAUUGAAUGGGUAACCAGGUCACCUCUGUGGUGUCGUCGGGACACUCCUUUCUUUAUGGCUAUUCGUUCGAGGAGAAGUUCUUUGACUAGACCCGUUUCUCUGUUUCUAGAGACUUAGAUUCUGUACGAAGAGUCUACAGUGGUUAUGGCUCCCUUUCCUAUCAAGUUUGGUCGUCUAUCUCCUGAUGUUACUUAAUGAGUCCUUCAUGAUACUUGAACUCCACGUUUCGGUCUUUCAAGAACUCGUUAAUGUAGUCUGUUUAAAAACCUUAAUAGUUUGGGGACUUGUUAGAAGUCGUAUGGUUGUCGUCGUUCAAGGACGAAUGUAACGGUGUCGUGGUCUAGGUUUGAGAAGUUGGUGAGUUUGGAGUACGACGAGGAACUUACAAGGGUACCAAAGUUAGAGGACGACAAGUUGACCCGUUGUUUCACCACUAAGGAGACCAUACGGUGGAUUACCUCCGACGUCGUAUAGUAAGUGAACACUAGUAACGGGACCUCGUUCGUGAUGUAUAGGAUGACCACGUCGGAAGUGCGUCGAGGGUUGAUUCCAUAGAUGACCGCUACUAGUUCAACGAUUCCGACGUUACUACUGACGACUUCCACGGUACUUAAAGUACUCUUUAUGUUAUAGACCUCUACGACGGAGGAAAGGUUUGUAUCCUUUACUUCCACCUUAACCUUUCCUCUUAUUGUGUUGAAACCCGUACUUGGACUUAAAUCUGUGGUGUCCUCGUCUGUCACUAGAGCGACAGCAUGACUUACGUACCAUAUGUCGUCCCAAAAUGUGACCGUCCAUGGAGUACGUCGUUAGCUACUUUUUAGGGGCUCUUUUAACUCACGGUUUUCGGUAUAUCUCCGAGUGGUUCCUAGGGUAAGUGAAGCCCUUCUUGACUUUAUACGUGAGUUUAAUACUACAUUGACUUGUACGACUACCUCAAGACGUUGGUGACAAAAUACGGUCGGUCAUGAAAAAGUUCGUUCAUAAUCCCAUAAGAAUGUAUACUUAUACCUAAACGACACUAAACGUCAUUUACGAACAGACCUAUCCAUUCCUAACCGAGUUGGGGAAGUCUAACCGUCCUUAACAACGGACGGAUAAGUUGAUUCAAGGUUCAUCGGUAAACACGGUACACGUGUCGAAAGUAGUCGCGGACGUGAACCGUCGAAGGUUAGAACUGUCAACCUGCUUCUUCAGUCGGUUUAAGCUCGUCUUUUCAAAACCGAAACUACUAAACAGGUACAUUACACCGCCAGCGUCCUGCCGUGGAAACCUUACAGCACUGAACAUAAGAACAUACUGGACGGUGGGGUGCUCCGUGCCCUCUUUUUAUAUCUUAAUACCUAUAGGGCUCAUUUCGGGCGUUCCUAGUUUUUCAUGGACUUGGUUAACAACACCUUUAGAAGUUCCUGACAGUGUGGUCGUU
This 1759-nucleotide ribosomal RNA is filed under the name Triticum aestivum (bread wheat). Its description in RNAcentral is "partial small subunit ribosomal RNA". Lineage: Eukaryota; Viridiplantae; Streptophyta; Magnoliopsida; Poales; Poaceae. The record is from RNAcentral.